RNAcentral lists this ribosomal RNA (522 nucleotides) under uncultured bacterium. Its description in RNAcentral is "bacterial SSU rRNA". It matches the Rfam family "Bacterial small subunit ribosomal RNA", at positions 777 to 1297 of the family's 1533-position model. The record is from RNAcentral.
AAUAGAUACCCGGGUAGUCCACGCCGUAAACGAUGAGUGCUAAGUGUUAGAGGGUUUCCGCCCUUUAGUGCUGCAGCUAACGCAUUAAGCACUCCGCCUGGGGAGUACGGUCGCAAGACUGAAACUCAAAGGAAUUGACGGGGGCCCGCACAAGCGGUGGAGCAUGUGGUUUAAUUCGAAGCAACGCGAAGAACCUUACCAGGUCUUGACAUCCUCUGACAACUCUAGAGAUAGAGCGUUCCCCUUCGGGGGACAGAGUGACAGGUGGUGCAUGGUUGUCGUCAGCUCGUGUCGUGAGAUGUUGGGUUAAGUCACGCAACGAGCGUAACCCUUGAUCUUAGUUGCCAGCAUUUAGUUGGGCACUCUAAGGUGACUGCCGGUGACAAACCGGAGGAAGGUGGGGAUGACGUCAAAUCAUCAUGCCCCUUAUGACCUGGGCUACACACGUGCUACAAUGGAUGGUACAAAGGGCUGCAAGACCGCGAGGUCAAGCCAAUCCCAUAAAACCAUUCUCAGUUCGGA